RNAcentral lists this long non-coding RNA (1883 nucleotides) under Pan troglodytes (chimpanzee). RNAcentral describes it as "lincRNA". Lineage: Eukaryota; Metazoa; Chordata; Mammalia; Primates; Hominidae. The record is from RNAcentral.
AGUAAGUCCAGCCCUAGGCUAAGGUGAGAGCGUCUGUUGGGACACUGUGGCUGGACCCACGUGGCAGGAGGUGUUAAUCACUGAAGGGAGGUAGAAUGUUUUUCCCCACCAGAGGAGGCAGCGACCACGUCUCCUCUAUGGAGGCAUUCAAGAGCCGUCCAGCUGAAGCAGCAUCACUGUCUGAGCUUGGAAGGCACAAUCCACAUAGGUCUGCAUGGUCCACCGAGCUACAUACCCACGGGGCCAGCGGGAGGUGGGCAGCUGCUGGGCUCUCUUCUGAAGCAGGGUCUUGCUCUGUCACCCAGUCUGGAAUGCAGUGGUGCCAUCAUAGCUCACUACAGCCUGAGCUGUACUGAGCUUGAGGGAUCUUCCCGUCUCAGCCUCCUAAGUAGCUGGGACUACAGGCAAGAAGAAAGCUUCCCUACACAUUUAUCAAGGCUGUUAUAAUCCUGACUCCCAAACAAGGUGUCAGAAACGAAGAGACUCAAAAAGAGACUGCCUGCCCUUACUCACCUUGACUGAGCGCUGACGAAGACCACGGGGCCCUCUGCGCUGCAAGGGCGGAGGUGGCCCAGAAGCCCGCAGUGCCCACGUGCAGGACCCAGGGUAGGGGGUGAGGCCGGACGAUGGCACCCGCCCCGCUGGUUCCCAGCCACACAGGGAGGCAAAGCAAAGGCAGCCCGCGGGCGGACGGAGCUGCAGGGGCCGAGCGUCGGCAAGCCCAGGACGGCGUGGCGCAGGGUUGCGGGCGCCCGACCUCCAGAGUGGCCCGCGGAUGCAAGACAAAGCUUUAAAGCCUCGGGCAGCACAGCCACCCACUAGUCCCCAGGUAUGAGGACGGUCUGAAGAACCUCUCUCUCCUCUGCCGGCUGAAGAGUUCCAAGACGAGUAAGGCAACAGCAAGGACGACACAACCACACACCACCACAACCACACGCCACCACCACCACACACUACCACAACCACACCACACACCUCCACAACCACACACCACCACCCCCACACUGCCACAACCACACACAACCACACACCACCACCACACAAAACCACACACAACCACACAUAACCACAGCCACACACCACAACCACACAACACCACAACACACAACCACAACCUCCCUCUGAGCAGCUCAGGCUGCUUUAACCAACCAAUUUGGAAUCCAAUCAAAAUCCUCUGCUGCCGUCUAGCGACGAAUACCGGGAAAGCAGAAUAUAUAGUAAGAAAGCUGUUUAAGAGGCAAAAAGUGAUCGUCUAAAGGUUUGAAAGUGCAAGCCAGAAGAACCUGGUCAUCCUGUGUUCAUGACAGUGCCUUGAACUGGGUCACCCCGCACUUGCUAAGGGGCUGGUGUGGGAUGUGACAAGAAGAAAGUCGUCAAGGGGACUCCAAGAUUUCUGACUUGAGAAACUGAAAAAGCCACUGUUAACUGAGAUUUUUUUUUAAUGUGGGUGGAACGGAUUUGGGCAUAAAGAUUUAAAAAUCCAGUUUGAAACGUGCUAAAUUGGAAUGUUUAAAAGAGAAUACUUGCUAAACUGAGCAAUAAUUAUGCUGUCCCCAGGUUAGCAAGUGUCCCCUUUUAGGUCAAAGGAUACAAAGUAGCAAGUAUGUAGGAGGAACAAAUCAAAAGAUCUAAUGAACAACAUCGCGACUGUAGUUUCUAUAGUGUGUUGUGUUAAGGAUUUUUGCAAAAUCAGUAGAUCAUAGCUGCUCUUGCCACAAGGCGGAAAAACGGAAAAAUGGAAAAACGGGUAACUAUGUGAGAUGAUGGAUAUAUUAAUCUGUUGUACUCUAGUAACCAUUUCACUAGAUAGAUAAUAUCAUGUUGAACACCUUAAAUAUACACCACUAGAUUUAUUUUUUAAAAUAAAAGUGAAACAUGGCUUG